UAUCCACUGUUCCACCUUCCAAAGUUUUAAUACCAAAGUCAAGAUAAUUGGCCAUAUUUAUUACUCUAGCACAAAGCGUCCUACACACGUGCUUACAUUACCAGAUAUGUGCUCACGCUCGCUAGUUCAGUCAGUGCGCUGAGAAUCCUAACGCCAUCUGUUUACUUUCAGGGCUAGUGUGACCUGGUCAGAGACCGAGGGUUCGGAUGUGACUUCUUGGUUAAAACCACGAGAAAUUAAGAGACAUGAGGCAAUACACGAACUGAUUGUGACUGAAGAGUCCCACCUUCGUUCUCUCCGUGUUCUGAACUCUGGAUUCUACCAUAAGUUGAUCAGCGAGGCAUUGCUGUCUCAAUAUGAAGUGACGCUUGUCUUCCCUAACCUUGUGCAGCUCAUUAAUAUCCACAACUCCCUCCUGGAAUCCAUGAAGGAGGUGCUUGAAGGUGGAUUUUAUGUCAAACCAAUAGGUGGAAUCCUACUCUCCCACUUUGACAGAGCUUCUGAUGACAUAGUGAAGGAAACAGUGAAGUUUUGCUGUAACCAGAUCUCUGCGCUGGAACUGAUUAAGAGCAAAAAGCGCAAGGACACCAGGUUCAGGAGAUUCAUGCAGAAUGCAGAGAGUGACCCUGCCUGCAGCCCCCAACUGCUUAAAGACCUGAUUAAGUGUGAGAUGCAGCGUGUUACCC
Molecule: long non-coding RNA, 686 nt
Organism: Pelobates fuscus (common spadefoot toad)
Lineage: Eukaryota; Metazoa; Chordata; Amphibia; Anura; Pelobatidae
Exons: 5
Source: RefSeq, a predicted model, not a curated record